This 245-nucleotide ribosomal RNA is filed under the name uncultured bacterium. Its description in RNAcentral is "partial 16S ribosomal RNA". It matches the Rfam family "Bacterial small subunit ribosomal RNA", at positions 15 to 252 of the family's 1533-position model. The record is from RNAcentral.
GAUCAUGGCUCAGGAUGAACGCUAGCUACAGGCUUAACACAUGCAAGUCGAGGGGCAGCAUUUUAGUUUGCUUGCAAACUGAAGAUGGCGACCGGCGCACGGGUGAGUAACACGUAUCCAACCUGCCGAUAACUCCGGAAUAGCCUUUCGAAAGAAAGAUUAAUACCGGAUGGCAUACGAAUAUCGCAUGGUAUUUUUAUUAAAGAAUUCGGUUNUGAUGGGGAUGCGUUCCAUUAGUUUGUUGG